AUUUUAGAAUAAGUGCAAUGUGGUGCUGAGAAAAAUGUAUAUUCUGUUGAUUUGGGGUGAGGAGUUCUGUAGAUGUCUAUUAGGUGCACUUGGUACAGAACUGAGUUCAAGUCCUGAAUAGCCUUAUUAAUUUUCUGUCUCGUUGAUCUGUCUAAUAUUGACCGUGGGGCGAUAAAGUCUCUCAUUAUUACUGCAUGGAAAACAGAGGCCUCAGCAGUGUGCUGUAUGCAGGAGACCCAUCUCAUGUGCAAAGACACACAUAGGCACAAAAUAAAGGGAUGGAGGAAGAUCUACCAAGCAAAUGGAA
RNAcentral lists this long non-coding RNA (307 nucleotides) under Pan troglodytes (chimpanzee). RNAcentral describes it as "long non-coding RNA NONPTRT012663". The record is from RNAcentral. Lineage: Eukaryota; Metazoa; Chordata; Mammalia; Primates; Hominidae.